GAUGAACGCUGGCGGCGUGCCUAAUACAUGCAAGUCGAGCGAACGGACGAGAAGCUUGCUUCUCUGAUGUUAGCGGCGGACGGGGGAGUAACACGUGGGUAACCUACCUAUAAGACUGGGAUAACUUCGGGAAACCGGAGCUAAUACCGGAUAAUAUUUUGAACCGCAUGGUUCAAAAGUGAAAGACGGUCUUGCUGUCACUUAUAGAUGGAUCCGCGCUGCAUUAGCUAGUUGGUAAGGUAACGGCUUACCAAGGCAACGAUGCAUAGCCGACCUGAGAGGGUGAUCGGCCACACUGGAACUGAGACACGGUCCAGACUCCUACGGGAGGCAGCAGUAGGGAAUCUUCCGCAAUGGGCGAAAGCCUGACGGAGCAACGCCGCGUGAGUGAUGAAGGUCUUCGGAUCGUAAAACUCUGUUAUUAGGGAAGAACAUAUGUGUAAGUAACUGUGCACAUCUUGACGGUACCUAAUCAGAAAGCCACGGCUAACUACGUG
RNAcentral lists this ribosomal RNA (497 nucleotides) under uncultured bacterium. RNAcentral's name for it is "partial 16S ribosomal RNA". It matches the Rfam family "Bacterial small subunit ribosomal RNA", at positions 28 to 507 of the family's 1533-position model. The record is from RNAcentral.